RNAcentral lists this ribosomal RNA (989 nucleotides) under uncultured bacterium. RNAcentral's name for it is "bacterial SSU rRNA". It matches the Rfam family "Bacterial small subunit ribosomal RNA", at positions 497 to 1482 of the family's 1533-position model. The record is from RNAcentral.
AAAACUACGUGCCAGCAGCCGCGGUAAUACGUAGGGGGCAAGCGUUGUCCGGAAUGACUGGGCGUAAAGGGUGUGUAGGCGGCACUUUGCGUCGAAUGUGAAAGCCCCGGGCUCAACCCGGGAACUGCAUUCGAUACGGAGGUGCUAGAGUGGGGAAGAGGCUAGUGGAAUUCCUAGUGUAGCGGUAGAAUGCGUAGAUAUUAGGAGGAACAUCAGAGGCGAAGGCGGCUAGCUGGGCCCUAACUGACGCUGAGACACGAAAGCGUGGGGAGCAAACAGGAUUAGAUACCCUGGUAGUCCACGCCCUAAACGAUGAAUACUAGAUGUUGGCGGUAUCGACUCCGCCAGUAUCGCAGCUAACGCGUUAAGUAUUCCGCCUGUGUAGUACGGCCGCAAGGUUGAAACACAAAGAAAUUGACGGGGACCCGCACAAGCAGCGGAGCAUGUGGUUUAAUUCGAAGCUACGCGAAAAACCUUACCAAGACUUGACAUCCCACGCAUAGGCCCGAAAUGGCCGAAAGGACCUCAAAAAUCCCGUGGUGACAGAUGGUGCAUGGUUGUCGUCAGCUCGUGUCGUGAGAUGUUCGGUUAAGUCCGAUAACGAGCGCAACCCUUGUUUUCAGUUGCCAGCAUUAAGUUGGGCACUCUGGAGAGACUGCCGUAGAUAAUACGGAGGAAGGUGGGGAUGACGUCAAAUCAUCAUGCCUCUUACGUCUUGGGCUACACACGUGCUACAAUGGCCGCUACAAACAGUCCCGAACCGGUAACGGGGAGGCAAUCUGAAAAAAGCGGUCUCAAUUCGGACUGAGGGCUGCAACCCGCCCUCAUGAAGUCGGAGUUGCUAGUAAUCCCAAAUCAGCAUGUUGGGGUGAAUGCGUUCCCGGGUCUUGUACACACCGCCCGCCAAGCUAUGGGAGCCGGGUGAAUCCAAAGUCGUCACGCUAACCGCAAGGGGGCAGACGCCUAAGGUUAAACCGGUAACUGGAGUU